CUGGCGGCGUGCUUAACACAUGCAAGUUGAACGGUCCGGCAUGGAAGCUUGCUGAAGUGUCGGGUAGUAGCGGACGGGUGAGUAAUGCAUGAGAAGCUGCCAUUGGGAGGGGGACAACAGUUGGAAACGGCUGCUAAUACCCCAUAUGCCGGAAGGUGAAACGGAGUAAUCCGCCCGAUGAGGUGCUCAUGUCCUAUCAGCUUGUUGGUGAGGUAACGGCUCACCAAGGCGACGACGGGUAGCCGGCCUGAGAGGGUGACCGGCCACACUGGAACUGAGAUACGGUCCAGACUCCUACGGGAGGCAGCAGUGGGGAAUAUUGGGCAAAAUGGGGGGCAACCCUGACCCAGCGACGCCGCGUGAGGGAAGACGGCCUUCGGGUUGUAAACCUCUUUUGUACGGGAAGAAGGACGUGACGGUACCGUGCGAAUAAGUCCCGGCUAACUACGUGCCAGCCGCCGC
RNAcentral lists this ribosomal RNA (462 nucleotides) under uncultured bacterium. RNAcentral's name for it is "bacterial SSU rRNA". It matches the Rfam family "Bacterial small subunit ribosomal RNA", at positions 36 to 518 of the family's 1533-position model. The record is from RNAcentral.